UACGGAGGGAGCUAGCGUUGUUCGGAUAUACUGGGCGUAAAGCGCACGUAGGCGGCGCAGCAAGUCAGGGGUGAAAUCCCGGAGCUCAACUCCGGAACUGCCUUUGAAACUGCAGUGCUAGAAUCCUGGAGAGGCGAGUGGAAUUCCGAGUGUAGAGGUGAAAUGCGCAGAUAUCAGGAAGAACACCCGUGGCGAAAGCGGCUCUCUGGAACGGUACUGACGCUGAGACGCGAAAGCGUGGGGGGCGAACAGG
Molecule: ribosomal RNA, 253 nt
Filed under: uncultured bacterium
Lineage: Bacteria
Description: partial 16S ribosomal RNA
Rfam family: Bacterial small subunit ribosomal RNA
Source: RNAcentral